UAAGCAUGGUAUGACAUAUGAGAAUGUUAUAAUAGAUAAAAGAUUACACAAGACACGAUUAAAAAUAUAAUUGUAAGAGAAAAAAUUUACAAUAACCAUUUUGUGGAAAAAAUGGAAAAGUCAUUAUAGGUUGUUAGAGAAAGUGCAAAAGAAUACCCUCUAAACACCAAUAAGGAGGAAAAGUAUAGUCUAAUAACCAAGCAUAAAUGAAUCGAGAAAAACUAUGGAUAAACCAACAAAGAAAUUUAACAGUAACACUAUGUUUGGUAGAGUAGUAGAGAAGAGAGAGUUAAGGAAAAGAGAAAUUAAAGAGAGAGAGUGAAGUUCUCCUAUUUGGUAGUGAAGAGAAAUAGGGGAGAGAGACUAAAAACAUGUGGACCCCACAUAAAAUCCUUUCUCUCCAAAGUUGAGAAGAAAGUGAAGGAGAUUAGUGAUAUUUAUUCCUUCUAUGCCCCUAGUCCAAUGUAGUUAAUUUUGUAUCUCUUAUGAUUUCAGUUUUUUUUUUUUCCCACCGUCAACUUUAUAUAAUUUGAAAGUGAAUUUAGGAGAAGCUAUUAUUUUUUUUGCAUCAAGAGUAAGCUAUUUUUGGUAUUCGUAAUUUUUUUUUUGUUGUACUUUUUAUAAUACAGUAUUUUGCGAUUUGCCAAAU
RNAcentral lists this long non-coding RNA (649 nucleotides) under Medicago truncatula (barrel medic). RNAcentral describes it as "lncRNA gene42811". The record is from RNAcentral. Lineage: Eukaryota; Viridiplantae; Streptophyta; Magnoliopsida; Fabales; Fabaceae.